CUCAGAAACUCAAAGGAAUUGACGGGGCCCGCACAAGCGGAGGAGCAUGUGGUUAAUUCGAUGAUACGCGAGGAACCUUACCUGGGCUCGAACGUAAGAUGACUGUAGGUGAAAGCUUACAUCUCUUCGGAGCAUUUUACGAGGUGCUGCAUGGUUGUCGUCAGCUCGUGCCGUGAGGUGUCGGGUUAAGUCCCAUAACGAGCGCAACCCCUACCUUUAGUUGCCAUCAGGUUAAGCUGGGGACUCUAAAGGAACUGCCUACGCAAGUAGUGAGGAAGCGGGGAUGACGUCAAAUCAGCACGGCCCUUACGUCCAGGGCUACACACGUGCUACAAUGGCCGAUACAGAGGGCAGCUACCUGGUGACAGGAUGCAAAUCUCCAAAGUCGGUCUCAGUUCGGAUCGGAGUCUGCAACCCGACUCCGUGAAGUUGGAUUCGCUAGUAAUCGCGCAUCAGCCAUGGCGCGGUGAAUACGUUCCCGGGCCUU
Molecule: ribosomal RNA, 487 nt
Filed under: uncultured Sphingobacteriales bacterium
Lineage: Bacteria; Pseudomonadati; Bacteroidota; Sphingobacteriia; Sphingobacteriales
Description: bacterial SSU rRNA
Rfam family: Bacterial small subunit ribosomal RNA
Source: RNAcentral